UACGUAGGGGGCAAGCGUUGUCCGGAAUCAUUGGGCGUAAAGAGCGUGUAGGCGGCCCGGUAAGGCCGCUGUGAAAGUCCAGGGCUCAACCCUGGAAUGCCGGUGGAAACUGUCGGGCUAGAGUCCGGAAGAGGCGAGUGGAAUUCCUGGUGUAGCGGUGAAAUGCGCAGAUAUCAGGAGGAACACCAAUGGCGAAGGCAGCUCGCUGGGACGGUACUGACGCUGAGACGCGAAAGCGUGGGGAGCAAACAGG
This 253-nucleotide ribosomal RNA is filed under the name uncultured bacterium. RNAcentral's name for it is "partial 16S ribosomal RNA". It matches the Rfam family "Bacterial small subunit ribosomal RNA", at positions 524 to 776 of the family's 1533-position model. The record is from RNAcentral.